This 373-nucleotide ribosomal RNA is filed under the name uncultured organism. RNAcentral's name for it is "partial 16S ribosomal RNA". It matches the Rfam family "Bacterial small subunit ribosomal RNA", at positions 527 to 896 of the family's 1533-position model. The record is from RNAcentral.
GUAGGUGGCGAGCGUUAUCCGGAUUUAUUGGGCGUAAAGAGGGCGCAGGCGGCUUUUCAAGUCGAAUGUAAAAUCUCCCGGCUUAACUGGGAGGGACCAUGCGAUACUGUUGAGCUAGAGGGCAACAGGGGGAGGUAGAAUUCCCGGUGUAGUGGUGAAAUGCGUAGAUAUCGGGAGGAAUACCAGUGGCGAAGGCGGCCUCCUAGGUUGUUACUGACGCUUAUGCCCGAAGGCGUGGGGAGCAAACAGGAUUAGAUACCCUGGUAGUCCACGCUGUAAACGAUGGACACUAGGUAUAGGGAGUAUCGACCCCUCUCUGUGCCGAAGCUAACGCGUUAAGUGUCCCGCCUGGGGGACUACGGCCGCAAGGCUA